GUGAGAGGAGGCAGUGAGUGAGAUGGGUUAUUAGACAGGGGAGUGGGCCUUGACAGAGCCAAGGAGUAGGCAGGUAGAGUUAAAGAAUUAGAGGUGGGUAAUUUAGGAAUGGGGUGUAAAAGGGGUGGAGAAGAAAGGAGUAUAUUAAGCGGCCAUUUUAGCAAGUGGCCAUUUUAAUCAGAAUCUGCACUUACCUGUUAAUUGUCUUUGGCAGGUCUGUGUGGGUUCCUCUUCUUUCUUUUUCAGAUCAUGGCAUCGCUGGACGAGAUCUUGGAAGGUGUGAGAGCAGCCGUGCGGGACAGAGGGAUGGCCUGGCUUCAUCAACAACUGGGGGCUCCUCGUACUGCCGUUAACCCCCCUGUGGCUGCGGAGCGGUGUCCGGUGAGGAGGGCGAAACCGCCCCAGCGGCUGAGUCUGGGCGUGAUGCCUUAAAGGACCACUAUAGUGCCAGGAAAACAUACUCAUUUUCCUGGCACUAUAGUGCCCUGAGGGUGCCCCCACCCUCAGGGUCCCCAUGCCGCCCGGCUCUGGAAAGGGGUUAAAACUUACCUUUUUCCAGCGCUGGGCGGGGAGCUCUCCUCCUCCGAUCCUCCUCUUCUCCUCCCUGUCGGCUGAAUGCGCACGCGCGGCAAGAGCUGCGCGCGCAUUCAGCCGGUCACAUAGGAAAGCAUUCAUAAUGCUUUCCUAUGGACGCUGGCAUGCUCUCACUGUGAAAAUCACAGUGAGAAGCACGCAAGCGCCUCUAGCGGCUCUCAAUGAGACAGCCACUAGAGGAUUAGGGGGAAGACUUAACCCAUUCAUAAACAUAGCAGUUUCUCUGAAACUGCUAUGUUUAUGAAAAAAUGGGCUAACCCUAGCUGGACCUGGCACCCAGACCACUUCAUUAAGCUGAAGUGGUCUGGGUGCCUAGAGUGGUCCUUUAAGCACGAAGACGUCGGAGCCCGUCAGCAGAUGCCGGUGGGGCCCUGGCUGCGGAUGCGGGCCAGGCGGCAUUGGCAGAUCGGGGGGGGGGCAACGGGGCACAAGCCCCCCCCCCCCGAGAUUCUCCCCUGCCAGUUGAUGCAGGGCUGGCAUUGUCCAAGUGCCAGCCCUGCUAUGUGCCUGCGGACCGGGGAGGGAGAUCAGAGAGGGAGGAGAGAGGACCCGGGAGCUCAGCCUGCAGCUCCUCCGGGUCCUCCUCUCGCAAGAUUUGGAGCGUUGCCGCGGUUACCAUGGCAACGCUCCAAAUCUCGCGAGAGUGAACUCUAGCCCUGGAGCUGCGGGCUAGAGUUCACCUCACCACCACUGGGCCACCAGGGAAUCCCCACCGGACCACCAGGGAUCCAGAAAUGUCCCCCCU
This is a non-coding RNA of Pelobates cultripes (western spadefoot toad), 1339 nucleotides long. The record is from the annotation of a GenBank genome assembly. NCBI's taxonomy places the organism in Eukaryota, Metazoa, Chordata, Amphibia, Anura, Pelobatidae.